UACAGAGGUCUCAAGCGUUGUUCGGAUUCAUUGGGCGUAAAGGGUGCGUAGGCGGCGCGGUAAGUCGGGGGUGAAAUCUCGGAGCUUAACCUGGGAACUGCAUUUGUGACUGCACGGCUGGAGUGCGGCAGAGGGGGAUGGAAUUCCGCGUGUAGCAGUGAAAUGCGUAGAUAUGCGGAGGAACACCGAUGGCGAAGGCAAUCCCCUGGGCCUGCACUGACGCUGAGGGACGAAAGCUAGGGGAGCAAACAGG
RNAcentral lists this ribosomal RNA (253 nucleotides) under uncultured bacterium. Its description in RNAcentral is "partial 16S ribosomal RNA". It matches the Rfam family "Bacterial small subunit ribosomal RNA", at positions 524 to 776 of the family's 1533-position model. The record is from RNAcentral.